GUGCGAAAACCAAAAAAAAAUGCUUAUUUGGGUCCCUUUUUGGCCCCUAAUUCCUAAACUGUUGGGACCUAAACUCCCAAAAUCAAUACCAACCUUCCUUUUGUGGUCAUAAACAUUGUGUUUAAAUUUCAUUGAUUUCUAUUUACUUAAACUAAAGUUAUUGUGCGAAAACCAAGAAUAAUGCUUAUUUGGGCCCUUUUUUGGCCCCUAAUUCCUAAACUGUUGGAACCAAAAAUCCCAAAAUC
Molecule: long non-coding RNA, 245 nt
Filed under: Mytilus galloprovincialis (Mediterranean mussel)
Lineage: Eukaryota; Metazoa; Mollusca; Bivalvia; Mytilida; Mytilidae
Source: RNAcentral